GUUCCUAUAGUUGAGGUGUACAACGAUG
This 28-nucleotide transfer RNA is filed under the name Psittacus erithacus (grey parrot). RNAcentral describes it as "partial tRNA-Glu". Lineage: Eukaryota; Metazoa; Chordata; Aves; Psittaciformes; Psittacidae. The record is from RNAcentral.